AAACAUUGCUUUAUGUUUACUUAUAAGGUUAACCCUGCUCAAUGAUAUAUUAAAUAGCCGCAGUACCUUGACUGUGCAAAGGUAGCAUAAUCAUUUGGCUUAUAAUUGAAGUCUAGUAUGAAUGGGAAUAUGGGUAGUUACUGUCUUACCAUAAGUUAAUGAAUUUACUAAUUAAGUGAAAAUUCUUAUAAUAAUAUAAUAGACGAGAAGACCCUAGAAAUUUUAUAUAUUUAUGUGAUUACAUAAGCUAUUUUGUUGGGGCGACAAAACAACAAUAAACUUGUUUACUAAAUAUUUGACCUUAUUGAGUAGGAUAAAUAAAUUACUCUAGGGAUAACAGCAUAAUACAAAAGAGUUUGUGACCUCGAUGUUGGACUAGGAAUAUUAUUGUUUAGAAGAUAAUAAUUAAGGCUCUGUUCGAGCUUAAUUUCCUACGUGAUC
This 441-nucleotide ribosomal RNA is filed under the name Pyrenaearia carascalopsis. Its description in RNAcentral is "partial 16S ribosomal RNA". It matches the Rfam family "Archaeal large subunit ribosomal RNA", at positions 1903 to 2674 of the family's 2987-position model. The record is from RNAcentral. Lineage: Eukaryota; Metazoa; Mollusca; Gastropoda; Stylommatophora; Hygromiidae.